UACGAAGGGGGCUAGCGUUGCUCGGAAUCACUGGGCGUAAAGCGCACGUAGGCGGAUUGUUAAGUCAGGGGUGAAAUCCUGGAGCUCAACUCCAGAACUGCCUUUGAUACUGGCGAUCUUGAGUUCGGGAGAGGUGAGUGGAACUGCGAGCGUAGAGGUGAAAUUCGUAGAUAUUCGCAAGAACACCAGUGGCGAAGGCGGCUCACUGGCCCGAUACUGACGCUGAGGUGCGAAGGCCAGGGGAGCAAACGGG
Molecule: ribosomal RNA, 253 nt
Filed under: uncultured bacterium
Lineage: Bacteria
Description: partial 16S ribosomal RNA
Rfam family: Bacterial small subunit ribosomal RNA
Source: RNAcentral